RNAcentral lists this ribosomal RNA (655 nucleotides) under uncultured archaeon. RNAcentral's name for it is "bacterial SSU rRNA". The stretch from base 1 to 346 matches the Rfam family "Archaeal small subunit ribosomal RNA", at positions 1127 to 1478 of the family's 1478-position model. The record is from RNAcentral.
AGGAGCGGGCAAAGGCAGGUCAGUAUGCCCCGAAACCCCUGGGCUACACGCGGGCUGCAAUGGUAUGAACAAUGGGCUGUGACUCCGAAAGGAGAAACCAAUCCCGAAAUCAUAUCUCAGUUGGAAUUGUCGGCUGUAACCCGCCGACAUGAACGCGGAAUCCCUAGUAAUCGUGUGUCAUCAACGCACGGUGAAUACGUCUCUGCUCCUUGCACACACCGCCCGUCGCUCCAUCCGAGUGUGCUAAAAAUGAGGUUUGGUCAAUUUGGUCAUAUCGAGUUUCUAGUAUGCGAGGAGGGAGAAGUCGUAACAAGGUAUCCAAGGCGCAGCAGGCGCGAAACCUCCGCAAUACACGAAAGUGUGACGGGGUUACCCAAAGUGUUCAAUAGAACUGUGGUAGGUGAGUAAUGUUCCCUACUAGAAAGGAGAGGGCAAGGCUGGUGCCAGCCGCCGCGGUAAAACCAGCUCUUNCAGUGGUCGGGAUAAUUAUUGGGCUUAAAGUGUCCGUAGCCGGUUUAGUAAGUUCCUGGUAAAAUCGGGUAGCUUAACUAUCUAUAUGCUAGGAAUACUACUAUACUAGAGGGCGGGAGAGGUCUGAGGUACUACAGGGGUAGGGGUGAAAUCUUAUAAUCCUUGUUGGGCCACCAGUGGCGAA